Molecule: ribosomal RNA, 467 nt
Filed under: uncultured bacterium
Lineage: Bacteria
Description: partial 16S ribosomal RNA
Rfam family: Bacterial small subunit ribosomal RNA
Source: RNAcentral
GACGAACGCUGGCGGCGUGCUUAACACAUGCAAGUCGAACGGAAAGGCCCUGCUUUUGUGGGUGCUCGAGUGGCGAACGGGGGAGUAACACGUGAGUAACCUGCCCUUGACUUUGGGAUAACUUCAGGAAACUGGGGCUAAUACCGGAUAGGAGCUCCUGCUGCAUGGUGGGGGUUGGAAAGUUUCGGCGGUUGGGGAUGGACUCGCGGCUUAUCAGCUUGUUGGUGGGGUAGUGGCUUACCAAGGCUUUGACGGGUAGCCGGCCUGAGAGGGUGACCGGCCACAUUGGGACUGAGAUACGGCCCAGACUCCUACGGGAGGCAGCAGUGGGGAAUAUUGCACAAUGGGCGGAAGCCUGAUGCAGCAACGCCGCGUGCGGGAUGACGGCCUUCGGGUUGUAAACCGCUUUCGCCUGUGACGAAGCGUGAGUGACGGUAAUGGGUAAAGAAGCACCGGCUAACUACGUG